This 406-nucleotide ribosomal RNA is filed under the name uncultured bacterium. RNAcentral describes it as "partial 16S ribosomal RNA". It matches the Rfam family "Bacterial small subunit ribosomal RNA", at positions 30 to 526 of the family's 1533-position model. The record is from RNAcentral.
AUUGAACGCUGGCGGCAGGCUUAACACAUGCAAGUCGAGCGAGUGGCGGACGGGUGAGUAAUGUCUGGGAAACUGCCUGAUGGAGGGGGAUAACUACUGGAAACGGUAGCUAAUACCGCAUACCAUCAGAUGUGCCCAGAUGGGAUUAGCUAGUAGGUGGGGUAAUGGCUCACCUAGGCGACGAUCCCUAGCUGGUCUGAGAGGAUGACCAGCAACAUUGGAACUGGGAAACGGUCCAGACCCCGACGGGAGGCAGCAGUGGGGAAUAUUGCAAAAGGGGGGCAAGCCUGAUGCAGCCAUGCCGCGUGUGUGAAGAAGGCCUUCGGGUUGUAAAGCACUUUCAGCGAGGAGGCGUUACCCGCAGAAGAAGCACCGGCUAACUCCGUGCCAGCAGCCGCGGUAAUUC